UACGUAGGGGGCAAGCGUUGUCCGGAUUUACUGGGCGUAAAGAGCGUGUAGGCGGCCAAGCAGGUCCGCUCUGAAAGCCCGGGGCUCAACCCCGGGAGGCGGGUGGAUACUGCUGAGCUCGAGUCCGGAAGAGGAGUGUGGAAUUCCUGGUGUAGCGGUGAAAUGCGCAGAUAUCAGGAGGAACACCAAUGGCGAAGGCAGCACUCUGGGACGGUACUGACGCUGAGACGCGAAAGCGUGGGGAGCAAACAGG
This 253-nucleotide ribosomal RNA is filed under the name uncultured bacterium. RNAcentral describes it as "partial 16S ribosomal RNA". It matches the Rfam family "Bacterial small subunit ribosomal RNA", at positions 524 to 776 of the family's 1533-position model. The record is from RNAcentral.